CUGGCAUAAGAAAAGACACAUAGACCAGUGGAAUAGCAUUGAGAUCCCAUAAAUAAGCCAUUAUAGAUAUGGGCAAAUAAUUUUUGACAAAGCAGCCAAAAACAUACA
Long non-coding RNA from Myotis davidii, 108 nucleotides. RefSeq lists it as uncharacterized. NCBI's taxonomy places the organism in Eukaryota, Metazoa, Chordata, Mammalia, Chiroptera, Vespertilionidae. The record is from RefSeq and is a predicted model, not a curated record. The transcript is spliced from 3 exons.